CAGUCGCCGCGGUAAUACGUAGGGUCCGAGCGUUGUCCGGAAUUAUUGGGCGUAAAGAGCUCGUAGGCGGUUCGUCGCGUCUGCCGUGAAAUCCUCAGGCUCAACCUGAGGCGUGCGGUGGGUACGGGCGGACUAGAGUGCGGUAGGGGAGAAUGGAACUCCUGGUGUAGCGGUGGAAUGCGCAGAUAUCAGGAAGAACACCGAUGGCGAAGGCAGUUCUCUGGGCCGUAACUUACGCUGAGGAGCGAAAGCGUGGGGAGCGAACAGGAUUAGAUACCCCCGUAGUCCCUGUCUCUUAUAC
RNAcentral lists this ribosomal RNA (301 nucleotides) under uncultured bacterium. Its description in RNAcentral is "partial 16S ribosomal RNA". It matches the Rfam family "Bacterial small subunit ribosomal RNA", at positions 509 to 807 of the family's 1533-position model. The record is from RNAcentral.